GGCUUUAUAGUCAAUAAUGAUAUUAGACUGCAAUUCUAAAGGAGUAAAUAAUUUACUAAGGCUU
Molecule: transfer RNA, 64 nt
Filed under: Calliphora vicina (urban bluebottle blowfly)
Lineage: Eukaryota; Metazoa; Arthropoda; Insecta; Diptera; Calliphoridae
Also listed under: 7 other names
Description: tRNA-Cys
Source: RNAcentral